AGAAGUGGUAAACACUUAAAUACAGGAAGACACCAACUAAUCAAAGUAAACCCAUGUUUAGCUGAACUUUUACUGUCCGGGAUCUGUUUCUCAUCAUAAUCAAUAGCAUCAAAACACUUCUCCAGCACCUUUAUUAGAACCUGAGGAAAGCCCUCCUCCAACAAUAGCACCUUGGCACUAGGAUGUUCCAAUAUACUAGCAAUGAAGUCUAGAUAUCUGUAAACCUUAUAAGCAUCUACGUCUGAUGGAAAAGAUGAGUCAGAAACAUGAUUAUGGAUGGAGGAUAAUAUGGGCCGCAGAAGUAUGGAAGCAUUUUCAACUUUUUGGCUAGCAAUGCGGAUUACAAAAAGUCGAAGCAUGUCUUGGAUGACUACCAAUGCCGAUAUAGCAUAAUGCUGAAUAAUAUGCGCAAUUUUAUCAAGAUGUGGUGUCAAUUGGCUAAGAAGUUUCUCAAGGUGAAAAGGCUCCAAAUACCAGUUGACCUGCCUUUCCUUCUGUGGCCCCAAUAAUGUACCAACAGCCAAUGUUCUCAGUGCACUCAGCAAAGGCAUUCCAUUCUUCCAAAGCCAGAUACCUUCUUCAGGGAAUAAAUCAUUCAG
RNAcentral lists this unclassified non-coding RNA (599 nucleotides) under Hevea brasiliensis (rubber tree). The record is from RNAcentral. Lineage: Eukaryota; Viridiplantae; Streptophyta; Magnoliopsida; Malpighiales; Euphorbiaceae.